GAGGGUACAGCUCAGUGGUAGAGUGCGUGCUUAGCAUGCACGAGGUUCGGGUUCAAUCUCCAAUACCUCCA
RNAcentral lists this transfer RNA (71 nucleotides) under Camelus bactrianus (Bactrian camel). It matches the Rfam family "tRNA". Rfam says of the family: Transfer RNA (tRNA) molecules are approximately 80 nucleotides in length. Their secondary structure includes four short double-helical elements and three loops (D, anti-codon, and T loops). Further hydrogen bonds mediate the characteristic L-shaped molecular structure. tRNAs have two regions of fundamental functional importance: the anti-codon, which is responsible for specific mRNA codon recognition, and the 3' end, to which the tRNAs corresponding amino acid is attached (by aminoacyl-tRNA synthetases). tRNAs cope with the degeneracy of the genetic code in two manners: having more than one tRNA (with a specific anti-codon) for a particular amino acid; and 'wobble' base-pairing, i.e. permitting non-standard base-pairing at the 3rd anti-codon position. RNAcentral also lists the same sequence under 2 other names. Lineage: Eukaryota; Metazoa; Chordata; Mammalia; Artiodactyla; Camelidae. The record is from Rfam by way of RNAcentral.